RNAcentral lists this ribosomal RNA (274 nucleotides) under uncultured bacterium. Its description in RNAcentral is "partial 16S ribosomal RNA". It matches the Rfam family "Bacterial small subunit ribosomal RNA", at positions 523 to 796 of the family's 1533-position model. The record is from RNAcentral.
AUACGGAGGGAGCGAGCGUUAAUCGGAAUUACUGGGCGUAAAGCGCGCGUAGGCGGCUUUGUAAGUCGGAUGUGAAAGCCCUGGGCUCAACCUGGGAAUUGCACUCGAUACUGCAGAGCUAGAGUAUGGUAGAGGGAAGUGGAAUUUCCGGUGUAGCGGUGAAAUGCGUAGAGAUCGGGAGGAACACCAGAGGCGAAGGCGGCAACCUGGACAGAUACUGACACUCAACUCCGAAAGCGUGGGUAGCAAACAGGAUUAGAAACCCCGGUAGUCC